AGAUUAAGUUAUUAAGGGCGCACGGUGGAUGCCUUGGCACUAGAAGCCGAUGAAGGACGUUACUAACGACGAUAUGCUUUGGGGAGCUGUAAGUAAGCUUUGAUCCAGAGAUUUCCGAAUGGGGAAACCCAGCAUGAGUUAUGUCAUGUUAUCGAUAUGUGAAUACAUAGCAUAUCAGAAGGCACACCCGGAGAACUGAAACAUCUUAGUACCCGGAGGAAGAGAAAGAAAAUUCGAUUCCCUUAGUAGCGGCGAGCGAAACGGGAAGAGCCCAAACCAACAAGCUUGCUUGUUGGGGUUGUAGGACACUCUAUACGGAGUUACAAAGGACGACAUUAGACGAAUCAUCUGGAAAGAUGAAUCAAAGAAGGUAAUAAUCCUGUAGUCGAAAAUGUUGUCUCUCUUGAGUGGAUCCUGAGUACGACGGAGCACGUGAAAUUCCGUCGGAAUCUGGGAGGACCAUCUCCUAAGGCUAAAUACUCUCUAGUGACCGAUAGUGAACCAGUACCGUGAGGGAAAGGUGAAAAGCACCCCGGAAGGGGAGUGAAAUAGAACCUGAAACCGUGUGCUUACAAGUAGUCAGAGCCCGUUAAUGGGUGAUGGCGUGCCUUUUGUAGAAUGAACCGGCGAGUUACGAUUUGAUGCAAGGUUAAGCAGUAAAUGUGGAGCCGUAGCGAAAGCGAGUCUGAAUAGGGCGUUUAGUAUUUGGUCGUAGACCCGAAACCAGGUGAUCUACCCUUGGUCAGGUUGAAGUUCAGGUAACACUGAAUGGAGGACCGAACCGACUUACGUUGAAAAGUGAGCGGAUGAACUGAGGGUAGCGGAGAAAUUCCAAUCGAACCUGGAGAUAGCUGGUUCUCUCCGAAAUAGCUUUAGGGCUAGCCUCAAGUGAUGAUUAUUGGAGGUAGAGCACUGUUUGGACGAGGGGCCCCUCUCGGGUUACCGAAUUCAGACAAACUCCGAAUGCCAAUUAAUUUAACUUGGGAGUCAGAACAUGGGUGAUAAGGUCCGUGUUCGAAAGGGAAACAGCCCAGACCACCAGCUAAGGUCCCAAAAUAUAUGUUAAGUGGAAAAGGAUGUGGCGUUGCCCAGACAACUAGGAUGUUGGCUUAGAAGCAGCCAUCAUUUAAAGAGUGCGUAAUAGCUCACUAGUCGAGUGACACUGCGCCGAAAAUGUACCGGGGCUAAACAUAUUACCGAAGCUGUGGAUUGUCCUUUGGACAAUGGUAGGAGAGCGUUCUAAGGGCGUUGAAGCAUGAUCGUAAGAACANNNNNNNNNNNNNNNNNNNNNNNNNNNNNNNNNNNNNNNNNNNNNNNNNNNNNNNNNNNNNNNNNNNNNNNNNNNNNNNNNNNNNUGAUCGUNAGAACAUGUGGAGCGCUUAGAAGUGAGAAUGCCGGUGUGAGUAGCGAAAGACGGGUGAGAAUCCCGUCCACCGAUUGACUAAGGUUUCCAGAGGAAGGCUCGUCCGCUCUGGGUUAGUCGGGUCCUAAGCUGAGGCCGACAGGCGUAGGCGAUGGAUAACAGGUUGAUAUUCCUGUACCACCUAUAAUCGUUUUAAUCGAUGGGGGGACGCAGUAGGAUAGGCGAAGCGUGCGAUUGGAUUGCACGUCUAAGCAGUAAGGCUGAGUAUUAGGCAAAUCCGGUACUCGUUAAGGCUGAGCUGUGAUGGGGAGAAGACAUUGUGUCUUCGAGUCGUUGAUUUCACACUGCCGAGAAAAGCCUCUAGAUAGAAAAUAGGUGCCCGUACCGCAAACCGACACAGGUAGUCAAGAUGAGAAUUCUAAGGUGAGCGAGCGAACUCUCGUUAAGGAACUCGGCAAAAUGACCCCGUAACUUCGGGAGAAGGGGUGCUCUUUAGGGUUAACGCCCAGAAGAGCCGCAGUGAAUAGGCCCAAGCGACUGUUUAUCAAAAACACAGGUCUCUGCUAAACCGUAAGGUGAUGUAUAGGGGCUGACGCCUGCCCGGUGCUGGAAGGUUAAGAGGAGUGGUUAGCUUCUGCGAAGCUACGAAUCGAAGCCCCAGUAAACGGCGGCCGUAACUAUAACGGUCCUAAGGUAGCGAAAUUCCUUGUCGGGUAAGUUCCGACCCGCACGAAAGGCGUAACGAUUUGGGCACUGUCUCAACGAGAGACUCGGUGAAAUCAUAGUACCUGUGAAGAUGCAGGUUACCCGCGACAGGACGGAAAGACCCCGUGGAGCUUUACUGUAGCCUGAUAUUGAAAUUCGGCACAGCUUGUACAGGAUAGGUAGGAGCCUUUGAAACGUGAGCGCUAGCUUACGUGGAGGCGCUGGUGGGAUACUACCCUAGCUGUGUUGGCUUUCUAACCCGCACCACUUAUCGUGGUGGGAGACAGUGUCAGGCGGGCAGUUUGACUGGGGCGGUCGCCUCCUAAAAGGUAACGGAGGCGCUCAAAGGUUCCCUCAGAAUGGUUGGAAAUCAUUCAUAGAGUGUAAAGGCAUAAGGGAGCUUGACUGCGAGACCUACAAGUCGAGCAGGGUCGAAAGACGGACUUAGUGAUCCGGUGGUUCCGCAUGGAAGGGCCAUCGCUCAACGGAUAAAAGCUACCCCGGGGAUAACAGGCUUAUCUCCCCCAAGAGUUCACAUCGACGGGGAGGUUUGGCACCUCGAUGUCGGCUCAUCGCAUCCUGGGGCUGUAGUCGGUCCCAAGGGUUGGGCUGUUCGCCCAUUAAAGCGGUACGCGAGCUGGGUUCAGAACGUCGUGAGACAGUUCGGUCCCUAUCCGUCGUGGGCGUAGGAAAUUUGAGAGGAGCUGUCCUUAGUACGAGAGGACCGGGAUGGACAUACCUCUGGUGUACCAGUUGUCGUGCCAACGGCAUAGCUGGGUAGCUAUGUGUGGACGGGAUAAGUGCUGAAAGCAUCUAAGCAUGAAGCCCCCCUCAAGAUGAGAUUUCCCAACUUCGGUUAUAAGAUCCCUCAAAGAUGAUGAGGUUAAUAGGUUCGAGGUGGAAGCAUGGUGACAUGUGGAGCUGACGAAUACUAAUCGAUCGAAGACUUAAUCAAAA
This 3025-nucleotide ribosomal RNA is filed under the name Staphylococcus aureus. RNAcentral describes it as "23S ribosomal RNA". It matches the Rfam family "Bacterial large subunit ribosomal RNA". Lineage: Bacteria; Bacillati; Bacillota; Bacilli; Caryophanales; Staphylococcaceae. The record is from RNAcentral.